AACAAGGAUUCCCCUAGUAACUGCGAGUGAAGCGGGAAAAGCUCAAAUUUAAAAUCUGGCAGUCUCUGGCUGUCCGAGUUGUAAUCUAGAGAAGUAAUGCCCGUGCUGGACCGUGUAUAAGUCUCCUGGGAUGGGGCGUCAUAGAGGGUGAGAAUCCCGUCUUUGACACGGACUACCAGUGCAUUGUGGUAUGCUCUCAAAGAGUCGAGUUGUUUGGGAAUGCAGCUCAAAAUGGGUGGUAAAUUCCAUCUAAAGCUAAAUAUUGGCGAGAGACCGAUAGCGAACAAGUACCGUGAGGGAAAGAUGAAAAGAACUUUGCAAAGAGAGUUAAACAGUACGUGAAAUUGCUGAAAGGGAAACGCUUGAAGUCAGUCGCGUUGUCCGGGAAUCAGCCUUGCUUCUGCAUGGUGUACUUUCUGGUUGACGGGUCAGCAUCAAUUUUGACCGCUGGAAAAAGGCCUGGGGAAUGUGGAAGCUUCGACUGUGUUAUAGCCCCUAGUCGCAUACAGUGGUUGGGAUUGAGGAACUCAGCAC
Molecule: ribosomal RNA, 534 nt
Filed under: Agaricus diminutivus
Lineage: Eukaryota; Fungi; Basidiomycota; Agaricomycetes; Agaricales; Agaricaceae
Description: LSU rRNA
Rfam family: Eukaryotic large subunit ribosomal RNA
Source: RNAcentral